Molecule: ribosomal RNA, 497 nt
Filed under: uncultured bacterium
Lineage: Bacteria
Description: partial 16S ribosomal RNA
Rfam family: Bacterial small subunit ribosomal RNA
Source: RNAcentral
GAUGAACGCUGGCGGCGUGCCUAAUACAUGCAAGUCGAGCGAAAGGACGAGAGGCUUGCUUCUCUGAUGUUAGCGGCGGACGGGAGAGUAACACGUGGAUAACCUAUCUAUAAGACUGGGAUAACUUCGGGAAACCGGAGAUACUACAGGAUAAUAUUUUAUACAGCAUGGUUCCAAGGUGGACGCCGGUCUUGCGGUCGCUUAUAGAUUGAUCCGCGCUGCAUUAGCUAGUUGGUAAGGUAACGGCUUACCAAGGCAACGAUGAAUAGCCGAGCUGAGAGGGUGACCGGCCACACUGGAACUGAGACACGGCCCAGACUCCUACGGGAGGCAGCAGUAGGGAAUCUUCCACAAUGGGCGAAAGCCUGACGGAGCAACGCCGCGUGAGUGAUGAAGGUCUUCGGAUCGUAAAACUCUGUUAUUAGGGAAGAAAAUAUGUGUAAGAAACUGUGCACAUCAUGACGGUACCUAAUCAGAAAGCCACGGCUAACUACGUG